AGAUCUGUAAGCUCAAAAAUGGUAGAGCGCUCAAGCUUUUUGGGCUUUUGAGAGGAUGGUGGUUCGAAUCCACCCAGAUCUA
RNAcentral lists this transfer RNA (82 nucleotides) under Rosa chinensis. RNAcentral's name for it is "sRNA RchiOBHm_Chr1g0357371". It matches the Rfam family "tRNA". From Rfam's summary of the family: Transfer RNA (tRNA) molecules are approximately 80 nucleotides in length. Their secondary structure includes four short double-helical elements and three loops (D, anti-codon, and T loops). Lineage: Eukaryota; Viridiplantae; Streptophyta; Magnoliopsida; Rosales; Rosaceae. The record is from Rfam by way of RNAcentral.